RNA transcript from Columba livia (rock pigeon), 2777 nucleotides. It is a transcript of the gene named HPS1 biogenesis of lysosomal organelles complex 3 subunit 1, with no coding region annotated. The record is from RefSeq and is a predicted model, not a curated record. NCBI's taxonomy places the organism in Eukaryota, Metazoa, Chordata, Aves, Columbiformes, Columbidae. The transcript has 19 exons.
GCGGCGGUCACGCGCGGCGGAGCAGGAAGCGGCGCGGGGCGGGCGGAGCCGCGCGGUCCCGGUGCCCCCCGGUUCCCGCGGCUGCUGCGGGUCUGGCCGGGCCAUGCGGUGUGUCCUGAUUGCCAGCACCGCGGCCGAGCUGCUUUUCUACUGGGCCGAUGCCGCCUUCCUCCGGCGGCUGCAGCCGCCAGACGCCGGGCAGGGCCCGGCGCUGGAGGACAGCCUCAACACCCUCUUCGCCCCCCUCAUCAUCUCCUGUGCGGCACUGCUGGAGAAGCUCGCCGACACCUACACCUGCUUCACGACCGAACACGGGCGGCACCUCCACGUCCUGCACAUGUUCGGGGACUGCCUGUACAUCGCUGUGAAUGGCGACGGGACGGAGAGCGAGGACGACCUGCGCAGGACACUGUUCGUGCUGCGGCGCUUGGUGGAGGCUCACUGCGGGCUCGUCACGCUUGACUCCCACCUCGUCCGCAAGGAGCUGCGACCACCCGAUUCGGAGCAGCGGGAGCGUGUCUGGAGCCUGCUGCGGGGCCUGCUGGAGACCUACAGCCACCUGCGGGAGGAGGACCAGAGCUUUGCGGUGGAGGCUGUGGAGCGGCUGAUCCACCCUCAACUCUGUGAGCAGUGCAUCGAGUUCCUGGAGCGGCAGGUGGUGCAGUACAUCAACACCAGCCCUGAGCGUGGAGGGGAUGAAGUAUGCCAUGCCUUCCUCCUGGUGCACACCAAGCUGCUGGCCUUCUACUCCAGCCGCAAUGCCAGCUCCAUCCGCCCUGCUGACUUACUUGUCCUCAUCCUCCUGGUGCAGGACCUGUACCCCAGCCAAAGUGCCGAGGAGGAGCUUGGCCCCCAGCUCACAGCGGGGAAUGUGCUUCCCCAGGGACCCAGGAGAAGUGAGAGCAUCCCCAUGAGCAGCCCUGGCUCCCAUGGAGCUGUGGAGAAGGACUCGGAUGACCAGCAGGACACAGACGAUCUCUCAGUGCCCGAGAUUUACUACACACCUGAGCCUUCUCCGAGCAGGGACAGCAUGGGCAGCGAGAGCUGGUCAGAGGGCGCUGAGACACUGAGCACCAGGGAGUCAGAUGCUGCAGAUGUCCAGAUGGCAGAGGACUUGCUCCAGACCUUGGGGCCUCUAGUCCCUGAAGCUUCAAACCCCAGAAGGAUCUUCCUGGACACGAACCUGCGAGAAGGUUACUGCCCCUUGCUGCCGCACACCAUGCACUGCCUCCCGCUCUGGCCAGGCAUCUCCCUCGUCCUCCUGACCAAGCAGGGCCCCACAACCCAGGUGGCGGUCACCUUGUACCAGCUUCUGGAUGGUUUUUUGGUGCUGGAGAGGAAGCUGGAAGAGGGGCCAGAGGUGGGAGCCCCACGCUCCUACCCAUUCCUGGCUGAGCUGCGGCAGCGCAUGGACAAGUUUGUGAAGAAGCUGAGUGGGCAGGACAUCCAGUUGCAGAACUCCUGGGUGGACUUGAAGAACAAGAUAUUUUCGCGGAGUGAGCCUGGAAGCUCCCUGGAGCUGCUGCAGGCAGUGGCCAACGUGAAGCGGCAGCUCUGCUCUGUGUACCGCCAGCUCUUCCUGGCCUCUGCCAGCCACAGCCUGUCCCAGGGGCUGCGGGACCGUGCCCAGAAGCUGAUGAGGGAGAAGCUGCUGGACUGGCGGGACUUCCUGCUGGUGAAGAGCAGGCGUAAUAUCACCAUGGUGUCAUACCUGGAGGACUUUCCUGGCCUGGUGCAUUUCAUCUAUGUGGACCGCACAGCUGGGCAGAUGAUGGCACCAUCGCUCAGCAUGACAGAGAAGUCCAGCUCUGAGCUGGGAAAGGGCCCACUGGCCACUUUCAUCAAGAAGAAGGUCUGGUCCCUGAUCGCGUUGACCCGGCGAUACCUACAGAAGGGCUACACCACACUCAUGCUGCAGGAUGGCGACUACUGCUGCUCCUACUUCCUCUGGUUUGAGAAUGAGCUGGUAUGUGGGGCCAGGAAGGGACUGAGCCCCUCUUCCCUGUCACCUUCUGGGGGCAGGGAGCAGGGCUGUAGGCACAGUCGUGGCUCCUCAGCGGUCCUUUCCCUGCCCCUGCCCUCUGCUGUCAUCUCUCCCCAGGGCUACAAGCUGGAAGUGAUGGAGGUGCCAGUCCUUGCUGAUGAUUCUGCUCCUGUUGGGAUGCUCGCAGGAGACUACUACAGGAAGCUGCUGCGUUACUACAGCAAGAACCACCAGGCAGAGGUGGUGAAGUGCUACGAGCUGCUGACGGUGCACCUGGGCAUCAUCCCCUCUGAGCUCGUGGUCCAGCAGGCCUGCGACUUGGCUCGGCGCCUCUGGGAACCCUCUCGCAUUCCCCUGCUCUGAGCUGCCUCCAUUUACCUUGGGACAGGAUUAAAGCGGGGCACAACGGGCUGGUGGCAGUGAGUACCGAGAGCAGGGUGCUGUCUGUCCUCCAUCCCCGGGGGACAGUGGAGGGCCAGGGAUGGUCUGUGCUGUGGGCAAGAGAAGGUGCUGGUGGCAGUGCCCAUGGGGCUGGAGGUUCCCACAGCGCUGUGGCAAGCAGGAGUGGCACCAUGUGCAAGAGGAUGAUUGGGGCGACAAGGUUGCAUCCCACCUGAAGUGAUAAGCAGUGUGAUGCUGUGCUUCCUGCAGGCUGCCUACCUGCAGCGGGCAGGGCUACGCACAGCUGUGCUAGAGAAACGCCAUGUGCUGGGCGGCGCAGCUGUCACGGAGGAGAUUGUGCCAGGCUUCAAGUUCUCCCGGGCAUCCUACCUGCUUAGCCUGCUGCGACCAC